ACGGGGUGCAGCAGGGGAGAAAACUUGACAAUGCGAGAAAUCGUGAUCAGGGGACUCCAGUUGGCUGGAUUAAUAUUCAGUCUGAACCGACUUUAAAUCGGUCGGGUAAUAGGGGCGGGAAAGACCGGUGCCAGCCGCCGCGGUAAUACCGGCGCCCCAAGUGGUCGUCACUAUUAUUGGGCCUAAAACGUCCGUAGCCGGUUUGGUAAAUCCGUGGGUAAAUCAGACAGCCUAACUGUCUGAAUUCUGCGGGGACUGCCAGACUUGAGACCGGGAGAGGUACGGGGUACCUGCGGGGUAGCGGUAAAAUGCGAUCAUCCCGUAGGGACCACCUGUUGCGAAGGCGCCGUACUAGAACGGAUCUGACGGUCAGGGGCGAAGCCUAGGGGCACGAACCGGAUUAGAUACCCGGGUAGUCCUAGGUGUAAACGCUGUGGACUUGGUGUCCGGGACUUUCAGAGACUUUCCGGUGCCGGAGUGAAGAUGUUAAGUCCACUGCCUGGGGAGUACGGUCGCAAGGAUGAAACUUAAAGGAAUUGGCGGGGGAGCAC
This 551-nucleotide ribosomal RNA is filed under the name uncultured euryarchaeote. RNAcentral describes it as "bacterial SSU rRNA". It matches the Rfam family "Archaeal small subunit ribosomal RNA", at positions 325 to 879 of the family's 1478-position model. The record is from RNAcentral. Lineage: Archaea; Methanobacteriati; Methanobacteriota.